GCGCACGCUGGCGGCAGGCCUAACACCUGCAAGUCGCACGAACCUUUCGGGGUUAGUGGCGGACGGGUGAGUAACACGUGGGAACGUGCCUUUAGGUUCGGAAUAACUCAGGGAAACUUGUGCUAAUACCGAAUGUGCCCUUCGGGGGAAAGAUUAAUCGCCUUUAGAGCGGCCCGCGUCUGAUUAGCUAGUUGGUUGAGGUAAUGGCUCACCAAGGCGACGAUCAGUAGCUGGUCUGAGAGGAUGAUCAGCCACAUUGGGACUGAGACACGGCCCAAACUCCUACGGGAGGCAGCAGUGGGGAAUCUUGCGCAAUGGGCGAAAGCCUGACGCAGCCAUGCCGCGUGAAUGAUGAAGGUCUUAGGAUUGUAAAAUUCUUUCACCGGGGACGAUAAUGACGGUACCCGGAGAAGAAGCCCCGGCUAACUUCGUG
RNAcentral lists this ribosomal RNA (433 nucleotides) under uncultured bacterium. RNAcentral describes it as "partial 16S ribosomal RNA". It matches the Rfam family "Bacterial small subunit ribosomal RNA", at positions 29 to 507 of the family's 1533-position model. The record is from RNAcentral.